Molecule: ribosomal RNA, 348 nt
Filed under: uncultured bacterium
Lineage: Bacteria
Description: bacterial SSU rRNA
Rfam family: Bacterial small subunit ribosomal RNA
Source: RNAcentral
GACGAACGCUGGCGGCGUGCCUAACACAUGCAAGUCGAGCGGGGUCCAUCCGGUAGCAAUACCGGGGAAGACCUAGCGGCGAACGGGUGAGUAACACGUGAGAAACCCUGCCCCGAAGUCUGGGAUAACCCGAGGAAACUCGAGCUAAUACCGGAUGUCUUCUUCUGAUCGCAUGGUCGGAUGAAGAAAAGAUUUAUCGCUUCGGGAGGGUCUCGCGGCCUAUCAGCUAGUUGGCGGGGUAACGGCCCCACCAAAGGCGUCGACGGGUAGGCUGGUCUGAGAGGACGAUCAGCCACACUGGGACUGAGACACGGCCCAGACUCCUACGGGAGGCAGCAGUUGGGGGAA